Molecule: long non-coding RNA, 5548 nt
Filed under: Sus scrofa (pig)
Lineage: Eukaryota; Metazoa; Chordata; Mammalia; Artiodactyla; Suidae
Description: lncRNA (ENSSSCG00000055219.1)
Source: RNAcentral
UCCAUGAACGAAGAGUGGGUAUGCCGUAGAAUAGUAUACAGCAGGGAAAAGGAAUGAAAUACUGCCUUGCGUGUCAGGCAUGCAUGAGUCUCACCGAUAGAUGCUGGGAAAGAAGCGAGGCACAGAUAAGAACACAUUGUAUGCCUCUAGUUAUAUAAAGUUUUAAGUCAGACUAACCUAAGGUCAGAAGAGUGGCAUACUUCGUGGGGAAGGAAAUGGCCCUGGGGGAAGCAGGAGGGAGCUUCUGGGUUGCUAGGAAUGUGGUUUUAAAAAUUGAAUUGAAUGAUAUCUAGCAAAUUAUCUGACCUCUGAGGCUUUGUUUUUCCAAACGUUGAAGGGACUGAAUGGCCACCCCAGCUUCCUCCAGCUACCCCAAGGCUGUGUGAGAAUGCCCUAGGGCUGGGCGUGGGGAGUGUCCCCAAAACCUGAGCGGGUCCAGAAACCUACACCUCCCCCUGGACCUGAGAUCCCCAGGGGGCUCCCAACACACAGACCUGUCGACCUUGAAAUCGUUUGUUCUGGACAGGCAGCCGGUGCCGCUCCGUCCGGCCUCAUGUGGGCAGGUGUUUGCCUGGCAAAUGACCCAGUACCGGAGAUACAGCACAGCUGCUCCUGCUCUCUGCCUGGUUCAGUGGUAUACUGCUAACAACCUGCCGUCGGAGAGAGGGGAUGGAAAUGCCCCGAUUUGUGGUAUCUGCCAAUUUCCAGGGUGUAAAUUCUCCCACCACAGCUAAUUUCAAGCUGCCAACACGACAUCACUGAACACGGUGUUGGGAAGACACGGGCACAGUUGGUUCUAUGCUGGGCAUCACGCAAGGCCGUGCACAUAUGUGACUCCAUCAAAUACUCGCCACAGUCUUGUGACACAUUUCCUUCUAACCCCACUUUAUAGAUGCAGAAACUGGGGUGCGGGGAGGUUGGGUCCUUGCGUGAGGUCCCAUAGCUAAGUACAGAAGUAUUUUCUAGGGAGUAUGGGGGUUCUGACCCCAGGAGUCUGGGGUCCCCUCACACACCAGGCUGGUUCAGCCAGUCAACUCCUCGCUCAGGCUGCUCUGCCAGGAACUCAGGGCCUGGCUCCUGUAGCGCCAUGUUCGCCCAGACUGCUCUCUGCUUGCCAGCUCCAGGACGUGCUCUCCCAGAAAGGGGGCUUGGAGAAAAGGAGGCGCAGAUUCUGAUUCUGACCCGUCUCAACCAGCCCUGCCCCCAGCAGCCUAGCCUUUAGCGCCAGUGCCCCUGAGGAGCCCCUGCCCGUCCCUAAUCCCCUUGUGACCAACCUGGUUAAUUCCAGCCCCUGCACUCACACCUCGGGUGGACCACAGGUCACAGGCCUGUUCCACUCCCUUCCCCUCUCCCCCUAGACCCCAGGGAGGGGACUUGAGAGAGCCUGAGAACUAUCAGGGCUCACAGCUGAGAGCUGAAUGCAUCCCCUGGGGAAAUUCCCAGGACCUCAAGAAUCCCUAGAGGGCCACGGCCCCCAGAAACAGACACUUGGUUCCAACUGCAAACACCAAAGAAAAUAAUCACUGACCGGGGCAGUCAACUCACUGAGCUAACUGCCUGCUCCUGGGUCUUGGGCCAGUUACCUGACAAAAGGCCAACAAGGCCAACCACGUGCUUCUCCUCCCACCCUGUCUCCACGGCCUCAUCCCCUUGAACCCCAGGCCCUUUCCCUCAGUGGGGACCAGGGAGGCAGGACAUGAUGAGGGUAUUUAAGGGCCAAGGCCACGUUCAGGACCCAGGAGAUCUAUGCAUUCAAUCCAGGACGCCAAACAGUCAGCUCAGAGGUACAUGGCUCUUGUAUGAGAAAUGAAAGGAAGGCUCCUCACCCGGUAGCAUUUUAACCUUGUCCAUGUGAAAAGCAAUAAUAACAGCAGUUGUCACACUUUCCAGGUCCUACUGUGAGCCAGGCGCUUCUCCCUCUCUUAAUCGUGGCUGCUGGUCCUCACAGCCUAAGGAUCAGGAUUCAGUGCCAUUUGGUCAAAGGGGAGCCAGGGGUGCGGAGGGUGAGCUGACGCCUGGUUCCCGCACCAGGAAAGAGCACCAGCUUGUGUUCCCUGCUGUUCUCGGCUGUGCCCACAGCCACCUCAGCCUUUGUCCUCCUGCUCACGGAAACCGUGAGAGAGGCAGAGCUGGUAUUGGAAGGCUGAAGCACUGACCCCUGGCUCUCCGAAGGCCAGGAGCAGAACCAAGACAGUAACGUCAGCUUCCCAGCCUCCAGAGUGACCUCUCUGCCCCCACGAAGGAGUGGGUGGAGUUCGGUUUUUCCGACCAAGACUUGACCUUCAUUAAAAAGCCGAGGGUUUAAAAGGAAGCCAGCACACCCUCAGCUCUGGCCUCCGAGAGGAGUGACUCAGUGGGACCCUUUCUCACAGGGGCACAGGGCUCUCGAGCAUGCAGGGCCCUUCCUCAGGCACUGUUAAGUCUGCUCCAACAAUAAGCCCGACAGGAAUUAUUUACCCAUUUCACAGAUAAGGAGCCUGAGGCUCUGAAUAGUGGUAUGUGGCCUCUGAAUGUCAAAUAGCACCUGCAGCCCUAAGAAGAGGCAUGUCAGCAGGCAGCCUGAUGACAAAUGUCACAGGGCCGCACACGUCUGAAUGCCCUUGGUCCAAAAGGCACUAAUGAGCUGGGGGGAAGGGCAGGAACUUGGGUACCGCUGGGCCCUCGGGGUCAGGGGUGACACCAAGACCUGAAUGGGCUGGUUGUGUGGGGAGCCCCAGGAAGCCGCGGCUGGGAAGCCACCACCAGGCUUCUCUCCCAGUGCACUAAUUGGAGCUGAGCUGGGUCAGAGGGGCCACGGGGCCCCCCCAGAGCUGGUGUUUGGAGCCAGGCAGGGGGCAAGCAGGCUUUGUCUCUCCUUUCGGCUCUUUGUCUCUGACCUCAGAGCAGAGGCCUGCACGAGGUUGCCCCUGGGGGCCUGGAAUCUGAGCUAAUGAGCCAACUUCUGGGCCCCACCAGUCCACUGUUAAUAGUAUGCCAGGGCAACAGGUGCAAACCAGGUCUGUCCCAACAAGACUAUACAGUCGGCAUUGUCCCCACUUAAAAGGCAAACCAAGGGUCGGGGAGAUUGCACCUUGCCCAGAGACAGGAGGCCAGAGGCGGGACACAGACCCAAGUCAGAUCUGACUCCAAUUUUGCUCCAGCCUCUGGCAGCCUCUCACAUAGUCAUAUCUCUCACUGACCAACACUCACCCCAGGCCACACUGUGCAAGCACUUUGCAUUCAUUAUCUCACUAGAGUCUCAUAAUCAGCUUAAGAAAUGGGACAAUGAGCAUCCCUUUUAGAGAUGAGGAAAUGGGGCACAGAAGGGCUCAGUAACUUGCCUAGAGUCACACAGCUUGGACUGCUAGAGCAGGGAGGACAAACCCAGACAGUCCAGGAAGUGUGUGAAGGACGCUGGUGUGUGAGCACCAGAGCCAGACCAUCUUGGAAACACGCUGCUGUGAAAGGCGGUGAAGGUAGGGGAAGAGAGGGUGACACACAGCCAAGUGUUGAUCUUGGGGGACUUUCUAAAGGAGGCAACCACUAUCUAAAAGGAGGGGCUGGUGUAGAAGACCAUGGCGCCACCUCCAAACUCCUAGCCCUCGCAGCCCCCCAGCAGCUUUGCAGAAAAGUGCACGUUCCAGGUUUUGGCAUCCAAACCUGGAGGGUCGAGCGCUUGUGUUUCCACAGCAACCCAUCCUUAACAGCAUCCAAUAAGGACAUUAUUUGGCUGCAGUGAGCACACAGGAUCUUUUCAUUACCGCUGAAGCUGCUGAGAGGCAGCCCUCUCCCUCACCAGGGGCCCCACCCCACCUUGGGAAAUGCCCCCCAAAAAGUGGGGGGAUGGUAAGGAAGGAAGAGUCACCACACAAGAGAGGGGGAAAUAGGGGGAAAAAAAAUCAAUGUUUGCAUUAACAGAGUUGCCCGUUCAGCGUUUCUCCUCUUUUAUAGAUUGAGAUAACAUGCUCGUCCGGGAUAUCUUCAUUUCCCAGAGCAAAGAAAUUAAUUACACACUAAUGGCGCGAUUCAGAAAUUAAUUUGUACUACCGUCUCAAAUAUGUCAUUAUUAAUCCAUUGACUGUAUGGGGCUGACGGGGAGAGGUGUCCGCUAGGGGUGGGGUGUUCAGGCUGACCUGAAGCUCGACUCACAGGCUGGGGUUGGAGGUUGCAGGCUGAGGGGCCUAGGAAUGGUGCGGGGAGAGGGGGUGGCUCUGGGCCAGUCCUCAGGGAUCUCGAGUUUCCCAUAUGCACCCUGAGGAGGGUGGGACUUGAGCAGAAUUUCUCAAACCCUGGGUAACUACAAAGUUUCUUCAGCAUAACAGUGAGCAGGAUCCAGCAUCCAAGACACAUGGGCUCAGGCCUGGAGCCCCUCAACUCUGUUCCCCAAUCUCCCUGGCUAUGGUCCCCAAGCCCUGCAGAGCACAGUUUGAAAGCCUUGAGGGGUGGGGAGGGCAGAUCAGAGAGGCUCCAAGCCCCCAGGCCUGCCCUAGCCCGUGUGUCUUCAACAGCUGGUUCUCUAGGGUGGGACCCCAGGGAUUUUUUUUUUCCUUUUUAUGCACCCACAGCACAUGGAAGUUCCCAGGCUAGGGGUUGAAUGGGAGCUGUAGCCUCCAGCCUAUGCUACAGCCAUAGCUAUGCAGAAUCUGAGCCAUAUCUGCGACCUACAUCGCCCCUAGCUCACAGCAACGCCAGAUCCUUAACCCACUGUGCGAUGCCAGGGAUGGAACCCGCGUCCUCAUGGAUACUAGUUGGGUUCUUAAUCUGCUGAGCCACAGCAGGCUCCGGGGAUUUGCAUCCUUCAGGGAGGCAUCCCUGAGCCCAUCUUGCUCACUUCUGCACUUUCAGUGCCUGGAGCAGGGCCUGGUGAUAGCAGGUGCUCCGUUAGUGUUGUAUGGUGGCCAAUGGAUUGGCUAAGGCGCCAGCCAGGAUAGAAGAGCCACCUUGAAAUGCAGGCAUCCUGACUCCAGUGCCCACACUCUCACCCACCACCUACCACCCUGCCACGCAGUCCUGGUUGACAAUUGCUGUUCCUCUCUCAUGCUUAACAGUCUCCAAAAGCUUUGAGCUUACGUGGCUUGAUCCAGGGUGGUGGGAAGAGUGCACGUCAUUGUUCCCAUUUGACAGAGGAGGAAGUGAGGCUCCCAGAGGCCACACCAGCACUAGGCAGGCUGGCUGGGGUGGGGGAGGGGCACUCAUCUGACAGCAUCUGGCCCACUUGGCCCAGCCCCCCUCUGAAGGGAUAGACCAAAGACUCCAACCUGUGUGCAGAACAGGUCAUUAGACUGAUGGUGCUCCAGAAGAGCCGCAGGGUCAUGUGGGACCUGAGAGUUAAAAGGAGCAGCCCCAGAGUUCCCGUUAUGGUUCAGUGGUUAAUGAAUUCGACUAGGAACCAUGAGGUUGCGGCUCGAUCCCUGGCCUUGCUCAGUGGGUUAAGGAUCCGGCAUUGCUGUGAGCUGUGGUGUAGCUCACAGACACAGCUCGGAUCCUGCAUUGCUGUGGCUGUGGUGUAGGCUGGCGGCUACAGCUCCGAUUAGACGCCUAGCCUGGGAAUCUCCAUAUGCCGCAGGUG